Long non-coding RNA from Mesocricetus auratus (golden hamster), 1192 nucleotides. RefSeq lists it as uncharacterized. The record is from RefSeq and is a predicted model, not a curated record. Lineage: Eukaryota; Metazoa; Chordata; Mammalia; Rodentia; Cricetidae. The transcript is spliced from 3 exons.
CCACGUUUUCCUCCGGUGCACACAGGAGAGGCUCCGUGACCGCGGGCACGCUGGCUUUCCCCUUUUCCGAGACGCACUGGCACAGUUUGUGAAUGCCCCUGCCGUGGAGAAGGCUGGCACUCCUGAGUAUCCGAGGCGGUCGUGCAAGGCACAGAUUAAAGCAGUGAUAACCGUGGAAAGCUUCGUCUGUCUUGUUUCUCUUGUCCUGUAAACUGCCUGUGGCCAUGUCAGAGCAGCUGCAGUCAGCAAUGGAGCUCAUGGGAGACAGCCCGAAGGAUAACCAAGCUACUCUGGAUACACCCGGAGGACUGUCUCCAGAAUGCCCCUUGCUUCUGCUGUGCUCCUUCUGUUUGCUGCUGCUGUGUUCCUGCUGGAUUUGGCAUGGUGUGAUUAUCAUAUGAAAAGAUCCCACUGUAUCUAGUAUAGUGUGACUGGUUCUUGGGAAAAUCCCACUCCUCACUGGGCAAUUCCCUUGCAGAUCAUGAUGAAGAUGAUUCUUAUAAGAGCAAUGAUGAUUAGUUAGAACUAUGAUUUAAAUGAACUUUCUGAAUUAGCCUAAAAGAUACAGGUGGUUAAGACAGUAAAGAUGAUUAGGAAAAUGGUCUAGGUUAUUGUGCCAAUUGCUCCACUAAGAGAUACAAAAAGACAAAUGUAGGCUAAAAGUCACCUUCCCCUCUUUUAGAUAUGGCAUUUACUGAGGAUGGAAAAUAAAAACAAGGAAGUUUCAUGCAUUAUAGACCCAUGAAUUCUACCUGUGGAAGAACAGGCUGACGAUUAAAUAAAACAAUUAUGUCCCUACACCCAAGGUUAGGCCUGAGUUCCUUGGUUAUGUAGCUUACAGAAUUAAUCACAAGCCCCAGUAUGCACCUUGAAAAAAACAAAGCUGUAAAAUGAUAUUAAAUGACUCUAUUGUGUGUAAAAAAAAUAGAUGGCCACUCAAAUGAAGUUUUGUAGGAAUCUGCUACACUGAAACCGCAAACCGCUUCCCACCAGAACAAAAGGAACUGGCUUGUGUAAAACUUUGUAAAUCAGUUAUAAAAGGAUCAUUGCUUUGGGGUGAAGAUGUUAUGGUGGGAAAAUUAAUAGAAAGAAAAAUGUCUAACUACUUGUGGGCUUCUAAGGAAAACAUGUAACUUGUGUUCUUAAUGUGAUUUCUUCUUAUGAAAAGAUUUUAAUUUGUUUUUGGAAAACA